UUUCCGUAGGUGAACCUGCGGAAGGAUCAUUAAUAAACCUAGUCGUUCGCGUACAUAGGGGCAACCCUCGCGUGAUGUCAGCAAUACCUAGGUAACCCUUGAAUAAACUACCCUUGUUGCUUUGGCGGGUCGCCUUUUAGGCCAGCGGCUUCGGCUGCUGCGUGCCCGCCAGAGGACCACAACUCUUGUUUUUAGUGAUGUCUGAGUACUAUAUAAUAGUUAAAACUUUCAACAACGGAUCUCUUGGUUCUGGCAUCGAUGAAGAACGCAGCGAAAUGCGAUAAGUAAUGUGAAUUGCAGAAUUCAGUGAAUCAUCGAAUCUUUGAACGCACAUUGCGCCCUUUGGUAUUCCGAAGGGCAUGCCUGUUCGAGCGUCAUUAUAACCACUCAAGCCUUCGCUUGGUAUUGGGGUUCGCGCUUCCGCGGCCUCUAAAAUCAGUGGCGGUGCCUGUCGGCUCUACGCGUAGUAAUACUCCUCGCGUCUGGGUCCGGUAGGUUGCUUGCCAACAACCCCCAAUUUUUUACAGGUUGACCUCGGAUCAGGUAGGGAUACCCGCUGAACUAAGCAUAU
RNAcentral lists this ribosomal RNA (571 nucleotides) under uncultured fungus. RNAcentral's name for it is "eukaryotic LSU rRNA". The stretch from base 224 to 377 matches the Rfam family "5.8S ribosomal RNA". The record is from RNAcentral. Lineage: Eukaryota; Fungi.